Molecule: transfer RNA, 72 nt
Filed under: Candidatus Woesearchaeota archaeon
Lineage: Archaea; Nanobdellati; Candidatus Woesearchaeota
Also listed under: 1 other name
Description: tRNA-Thr
Rfam family: tRNA
About the family: Transfer RNA (tRNA) molecules are approximately 80 nucleotides in length.
Source: RNAcentral
GCCUCGGUAGCUCAGUGGUAGAGCGUUCCCUUGGUAAGGGAAAGGUCGUGUGUUCAAUCCACACCCGAGGCA